GUUGUCUAAACUCCUAUCCAAUCCAGCCUACUGCCUUAAAUAUUUUGUAAGUGCGGUAAGGUGAAAGUCUAGUACCACUAAGCUAAAAUCUGUAGGACCAUGGCUAAACGUCUUUAUUUCAGAAGCCAUUUUGAAAGAGGCGAUUGUCACUUUUUCUAAUGUAAUGUGGAUAGUGAUGAACUCGUUUUUGGCAUCCAACAUCACAAAAUUGCAGCGCACAUUGUCGCUUGUCAAACGGUGACGAGUAUGCUGAGUGGUAAUUACAAAUUAUGGUGAAUCUAGGUACUUCUAUAUACCUGAUCUGCAGAAAAGAUAAAUCUUUUGUGGACGAUUUAACUACAGAACGUGGUAUUGUAAACUUGAGAGUAGUCUUGUAUUACGAUCUGCUAUGGUUUAGCGAUUGUGAUUGCUUU
This 413-nucleotide non-coding RNA is filed under the name Plasmopara halstedii. RNAcentral's name for it is "Eukaryotic large subunit ribosomal RNA". It matches the Rfam family "Eukaryotic large subunit ribosomal RNA", at positions 3027 to 3401 of the family's 3401-position model. The record is from Rfam by way of RNAcentral. Lineage: Eukaryota; Oomycota; Peronosporomycetes; Peronosporales; Peronosporaceae.